UGCGGCGGUGACGGGCGCGGCGGCCACGGCCGGUGUUUCCGGCGCUGGUGCCGUACUGCUCAACGCGGGUUCGGCCACCGCCGCCGCCUC
RNAcentral lists this transfer RNA (90 nucleotides) under Janthinobacterium sp. HH104. RNAcentral describes it as "tRNA-Gly". Lineage: Bacteria; Pseudomonadati; Pseudomonadota; Betaproteobacteria; Burkholderiales; Oxalobacteraceae. The record is from RNAcentral.